This 367-nucleotide long non-coding RNA is filed under the name Calidris pygmaea (Spoon-billed sandpiper). Its description in RNAcentral is "lncRNA (ENSCPGG00000018986.1)". The record is from RNAcentral. Lineage: Eukaryota; Metazoa; Chordata; Aves; Charadriiformes; Scolopacidae.
CCGCUUUCAACAGCCUAUCUGGGUGCAGCAUCACAUCCAACAUGACCAGCCACAGAAAGGUGGUGUUACUUCAGCUCCAGGACCAUCCGUUCUGAUUGUUCAUCAAACACGUGGGCACAGCCAGAGUGUUUCCAUCAUGACACAAACAGGUCCUGUGGGGAUUACAGAAGAGUCAUGUCCUGGCUAGAAUGCUACACUACAACUGACCCAGCUUAACAAUUACUCCAUUAUGAUUUCAAGCAGAAAACAUCAGUGGGAAACUGCUCUGAGUGAGGACAGAUACUACAGAACAGGCACGUAUCAAAAAUUGUAAUUGUUUCACUCAAAUACAUUUACUAUGUGCAUGCUGUGUGUAACGUGACGCAGG